CCCAGACUUUAUGGACCGACCACCCAGCUACAGAGACCUGAAGUCAUAAAAGUGGAUCAAGGGAGCCAGACACACAGGGAUGGGCUUGUUUAUCAUCCUGGAGACUACAGAGAAACUUAGAAGCACAAAGAGUCACUUUAGCAGGGGCCGUCAAGAGCCACCUCCAGCUAAUGUUCCAGUCCAGCACAAAGUCAGCCUUCCUUGCAGAUGGUCCUUCUGGAAGGGGUCAGAAAAAGUGAGGAAGAGGAGGAAAGAGAGGGGAAAGAGAUGGG
Molecule: long non-coding RNA, 272 nt
Filed under: Cricetulus griseus (Chinese hamster)
Lineage: Eukaryota; Metazoa; Chordata; Mammalia; Rodentia; Cricetidae
Description: lncRNA (ENSCGRG00015033864.1)
Source: RNAcentral